GGAAGGUGUACGGUUCAGUAGAAGAUUAUCUGCUUUACAAGCAGAAGGUCCCAGGUUCAUUCUCUGCCAUCUCCU
This is a non-coding RNA of Podarcis lilfordi (Lilford's wall lizard), 75 nucleotides long. The record is from the annotation of a GenBank genome assembly. Lineage: Eukaryota; Metazoa; Chordata; Lepidosauria; Squamata; Lacertidae.